This 516-nucleotide ribosomal RNA is filed under the name Mycobacterium sp. N530. Its description in RNAcentral is "bacterial SSU rRNA". It matches the Rfam family "Bacterial small subunit ribosomal RNA", at positions 1 to 522 of the family's 1533-position model. Lineage: Bacteria; Bacillati; Actinomycetota; Actinomycetes; Mycobacteriales; Mycobacteriaceae. The record is from RNAcentral.
UGGAGAGUUUGAUCCUGGCUCAGGACGAACGCUGGCGGCGUGCUUAACACAUGCAAGUCGAACGGAAAGGCCCCUUCGGGGGUGCUCGAGUGGCGAACGGGUGAGUAACACGUGGGUGAUCUGCCCUGCACUCUGGGAUAAGCUUGGGAAACUGGGUCUAAUACCGGAUAGGACCAUGGGAUGCAUGUUCUGUGGUGGAAAGCUUUUGCGGUGUGGGAUGGGCCCGCGGCCUAUCAGCUUGUUGGUGGGGUGAUGGCCUACCAAGGCGACGACGGGUAGCCGGCCUGAGAGGGUGUCCGGCCACACUGGGACUGAGAUACGGCCCAGACUCCUACGGGAGGCAGCAGUGGGGAAUAUUGCACAAUGGGCGCAAGCCUGAUGCAGCGACGCCGCGUGGGGGAUGACGGCCUUCGGGUUGUAAACCUCUUUCAGUAUCGGCGAAGCUCCGUGGUUUUCUGCGGGGUGACGGUAGGUACAGAAGAAGCACCGGCCAACUACGUGCCAGCAGCCGCGGUA